This 292-nucleotide ribosomal RNA is filed under the name uncultured prokaryote. Its description in RNAcentral is "partial 16S ribosomal RNA". It matches the Rfam family "Bacterial small subunit ribosomal RNA", at positions 505 to 796 of the family's 1533-position model. The record is from RNAcentral.
GUGCCAGCCGCCGCGGUAAUACGUAGGGUCCAAGCGUUAAUCGGAAUUACUGGGCGUAAAGCGUGCGCAGGCGGUUGUGCAAGACCGAUGUGAAAUCCCCGGGCUUAACCUGGGAAUUGCAUUGGUGACUGCACGGCUAGAGUGUGUCAGAGGGGGGUAGAAUUCCACGUGUAGCAGUGAAAUGCGUAGAGAUGUGGAGGAAUACCGAUGGCGAAGGCAGCCCCCUGGGAUAACACUGACGCUCAUGCACGAAAGCGUGGGGAGCAAACAGGAUUAGAUACCCUCGUAGUCC